CUCCAAAGUGUUGAGUGCAGUUCAGGGUAGCUUCCCUGUUCUGUUAAUUAGACUUUGGAACAUUGAAACAGGCUAGGAAAACUGAUUGGAUAGAAAAUAUUACUCUAUUCAUUUAUCUCCUAGCCUACAAAG
This is a small nucleolar RNA of Equus asinus (donkey), 132 nucleotides long. The record is from Ensembl. NCBI's taxonomy places the organism in Eukaryota, Metazoa, Chordata, Mammalia, Perissodactyla, Equidae.